Molecule: long non-coding RNA, 1385 nt
Organism: Mus pahari (shrew mouse)
Lineage: Eukaryota; Metazoa; Chordata; Mammalia; Rodentia; Muridae
Exons: 5
Source: RefSeq, a predicted model, not a curated record
AGAGUCCAUUUGGGAGCCAGUGUCUGUGCAAAGACUCCGAAAGCACACAGAAACUCCCUUCCAGGUGGGAUUUGCUGCAUAAAGCCUUUGCCAUGGCAACAGGGAAACACUUGCAGAGCCCUGCAGCUGACACUGGGAAAAACCUCACCUAUUCUUAAGGAAACAGAGGAACAAGACGGGAGAAGGUUAAAAGAUGGCAUGGCUGUGCCAAUACCUUGGCAGAAUCAUUGUUCAACAUUGUCUUCAUCACUGAGUUUGUCUGAUUGGGAUGUACUCUCCACUGUUCUAGAGACAAUGAAGCUGGGACACAGAGCAAUGGUCUUGCAUGACUGAUAAGUAGGACCAGCAUUCACCUCACACUCUUUUGGGAGAAAUAUGUGAUCCAAACAGAGAUGUAGGCUAUUCUUGCCUCAGAUUUGCGUUACACAGAAGUGGUGAUUUCUUGCCAUCCAGAUUCUUUUACAUAGUGUUUUCCAGUUCCUGUUGCUGACCAAUUUCUCUGGAGGUGGAGGGCAAGCCAUAAUGGCAUAAAAACAUCCCUUGGGAGCUGGCAUGUAUUCCCAGCAGUUAGCAUCUUUAUAAUCCGGUUGGCACCUUGUUACCACAGAGAAUGAAGAAAAAAUCAGCAAGGCAGAAUUACUUUCUUGGUGGCUUUCAUCACUCCUAAAGAUGGACUCGAGAAUUCUAGGAAAAGAAAAAAAUAAAUGACUAACAGAAAUCUAGAGAGUUCUAAUUAUUCAGGAGCUCAUUUUCCAGCAUGUGGGCUGUUGGUAAUUCCUUUCUGCCUCCCUUUCUCCCACACAAUUUUGUUAGGAAGAGAAAUGUGCAGAAGCUGUGCCCAUAUCAACAUAGUUCCUUAGUAGUUAGAAGCUAUCAUCAAAUGUUCCAUGUAAUUAAUUUCUAAAAUAAGGCUCAUGGGUUUUUUAUGGAUUUAGGCUAGCUUUAGCAACCACUCAGACUGUUUUUCAAGGCUCAGCCAUAAGCCACACCUCAUAGAUGAUGUGUUUAACUAGAAGCCAGAGACUCUUGAACAUAAUGGCUAGUGUAUGGGGAUGAUGGAGUCAGAAAGGACAGUAGGGUACAUCCAGGGAAAGGAAGGUCUAUUUCUGUACUUGUGUGACUGGGAAUAAACAUGUCUUGCAAAACAUUUAGACCCUAACUUUUCACUGGUCUCAACUCCUGUGGGCACGGAGAAUGCAACAAAGCGACCAUUUCCUGCUCCUUCCUUGAGUUUAUAUUUAGUGAAGAAGAGCAAGCAAACAAGUCACUUUGGAUGAGGACAGAUUCUGUAAAAAUAAUCAAGAGGGGUUGAUGGCAUAUUGUCAGCAGAUAUGUGGAGGAAGGACAGCUUUAGAAGGAGCCUCAGCCUCAGGAACUGAACUAUA